AGCAGCCGCGGUAAUUCCAGCUCCAAUAGCGUAUAUUAAAGUUGUUGCAGUUAAAAAGCUCGUAGUUGAAUUUCGGGAUUGACACAUCGGUCGUGCCUUAAGGGGUGUGAACUGGUGUAGUCAAUUUCUCACCUUCUGGAGAACCGCGAUGUCCUUAAUUGGGUGCCGCGAGGAACCAGGACCUUUACUUUGAAAAAUUAGAGUGUUUAAAGCAGGCAUUUUUGCUUGAAUACAUUAGCAUGGAAUAAUAAAAUAGGACGGCAUGAUUCUAUUUUGUUGGUUUCUAGGAUCACCGUAAUGAUUAAUAGGGAUAGUUGGGGGCAUUAGUAUUCAAUUGUCAGAGGUGAAAUUCUUGGAUUUAUUGAAGACUAACUACUGCGAAAGCAUUUGCCAAGGAUGUUUUCAUUAAUCAAGAACGAAAGUUAGGGGAUCGAAGACGAUCAGAUACCGUCGUAGUCUUAACCAUAAACUAUGCCGACUAGGAAUCAGACGAU
RNAcentral lists this ribosomal RNA (494 nucleotides) under uncultured Entrophospora. RNAcentral's name for it is "SSU rRNA". It matches the Rfam family "Eukaryotic small subunit ribosomal RNA", at positions 569 to 1061 of the family's 1831-position model. The record is from RNAcentral. Lineage: Eukaryota; Fungi; Glomeromycota; Glomeromycetes; Entrophosporales; Entrophosporaceae.